GCCCCCGUAGCUCAGCGGACAGAGCAACCGCCUUCUAAGCGGUCGGUCGCAGGUUCGAUCCCUGCCGGGGGCGCCG
This 76-nucleotide transfer RNA is filed under the name Mycobacterium sp. PO1. RNAcentral describes it as "tRNA-Arg". It matches the Rfam family "tRNA". Rfam says of the family: Transfer RNA (tRNA) molecules are approximately 80 nucleotides in length. Their secondary structure includes four short double-helical elements and three loops (D, anti-codon, and T loops). Lineage: Bacteria; Bacillati; Actinomycetota; Actinomycetes; Mycobacteriales; Mycobacteriaceae. RNAcentral also lists the same sequence under 1 other name. The record is from RNAcentral.